Molecule: long non-coding RNA, 10869 nt
Filed under: Gossypium barbadense (sea-island cotton)
Lineage: Eukaryota; Viridiplantae; Streptophyta; Magnoliopsida; Malvales; Malvaceae
Description: long non-coding RNA (GBAR_LNC016974)
Source: RNAcentral
AAGAUAUACCUUGAAACACAAAAAGAUUCCUAUUUUUCCAUAUGCACCGUACUAGUAAACCAAAAAGAGAAGACCAAUGCACCCCGUUUCCCAACGUCCAACUAGACAUUUCUAGAUUUGAUCUAAUCCACUCUGAGAGAUUUUUGAAAAAAAAAACUAUGGCUGAUAAUUCCUUGGCACAAAGCACUUCCAAACAUUUUUAGUAUUCGGGCAAUCUCUAAGGACAAUGUAAAAUAUCUUCAAUCUCGUAAUGGCACACUGGGCAGGACGUACUUUAUCCAAUGCCCCUUCUACCCGUUCUUAGUUAGUUAGUAGUCUUUGUUUGUAAACGAGCCAUAAAAAGAAGUGAACACGAUGUGGUUCUUUAUACUUCUAGACGACUUUCCACUUAGUAUCCUUUGCAUCCCACAUAUCUGCUUUUAACAUAUAAUAGGCACUUUUAACUAAAAAUCUUCCAUUUGUUGUAUGUACCCAAAUGAUUUUAUCAGGGCCAGCUAGAGGGUAUAGUGGUAGGAUACUUGCGAUCCUUUUAACAACUUCUUCCGGCAAACGUUCCUUAAAAGCCUCCAUAUUCCAUGCUCCAUCCUCUACUACCAUAUCUUUAAAAAAAUAGACCGUGAUAGGCCUGUCUGUGGGAGGGUACAUACAUCUUUAACGGCCUUACUUUUAGGAUCCAAAAAUCUUCCCAACAGCGGACUGAGGUUCCUAUUCCAAUGUUUCAGCACAAGUUUUUCUUCAGUAGUGGCCACACCUUUUUAAUCCCUCUCCAAAUAGCUGAACAACUCCCUCUCUUGAUAUCUUCAGUGAUCCUUUCUUUUAACCUAUAUUUUGACUGUAAAACCCUGACCCAUAAAUCCUCUUUUUUGGUGACAAAAUUAUACCUUAAUUUCAAUAAAAAAUAGGCAUUCUGGUCUUCUAAAUGCUGAAGCCCAAGCCAGCACAUAGGUGAGGUUAGUAUACAAAGCCCCAGUCCACUAGUGCUAACUUUCGUCUACCAAUAUUAGAACCCCAUAUGAAUUGCCUUGCCAAACAUUCAAUCUCUUCACAUACUUCUUUUGGAACUUGCAUAGAUUGCAUAAAGUAAUUUGGAAUAGAUAGAAGGACCGAUUGUGCCAAAGUGAACCUUCUUACCAUAAAGAGUUGUUUUGCAUCCCAAUUGUAUAACUUAGCUCUGACCUUUUCAACUACAAAUGUAACCCCCUUAACCCAUACUUAUCGUCGAAAUAGGUUACGGAGUAUUACUAGAGUUUACAGAAUAAUUACACUUAAUUCAUGACAUUUACUCUUCAUAUCUUAAACCAAUCAUAUUCAAUCAUAUUAUCCCUUAAAUGGACCCUCGAGGCCCAAUUUAUGCAUUUGAAACAAGUCGGGACUAGAUCGGGAACUCAAAGAAUUUUUCGCAAAAUUUUAAAAAAAAUUUUAGAUGUAGGGGACACAUGCUCAUGUGGCCUGGCCGUAUGGCUCACACGGCCAAGUGACACACCCGUGUCCCAAGCCAUGUGGGCAUUCAUUGUGAAGCACACGGUCGUGUCUCAGCCCGUGUCUAUACCCGUGUAACUCUCUGACUUGGGUCACACAGCCAGCCACACGCCCAUGUGCUAGGCCGUGUGGACAAUUUAAUUUUUAAAAUUUAGGUACAAGGGACACACAGCCAAACCACAGGCCCGUGUCUCUACCCAUGUGGAUGAAAAAUAAGUCAUUUUCAGGCUACUUUUCUCACCCAAUUUGCCUUUCACCUACAACAACACUUAAACAUGUUCACCAACUAAUUCAAACCAUUCAAAUCAAGCCAAAUUCAUGUAUUAAGUAUGAUGUAAUAUCACCUAUAUGCAUAUUGGACUUAAUAUGCUAACUCAAUCUUACCAUCAAUAUAACAAUAUGCUUUUCAACACUUAACCAUUUCAAACACAUUCCAAGCAUGAUAAAGCUACACACAAAUAUAUAUACUUUUGCUUCAAAAUAGAACUAUUACAAGCCAUUCCAAUGUCUAGUUCCAACCAAAAUAUUUCUUCAUUAUGCUUAACUUAACUUAUACAUCCCAUUAUACCAAAAGUUAGUUUGUUUUAUAUACCAAGAAGUCCGAGGGAUAGUGUGAUGUGUCUCCGACCAAGUUCCAACCUUCACGAGCUUCCGAGUACUAUAAAAUAGAGGAAAGAAAACAGAGUAAGCAUAUUAUGCUUAGUAAGUUCGUAUAACGGAAAAUCAACUUACCAAUCAUUUAUAUUUAAGAUAAGCAUACAAAAUUCAUCCAAAGAAAUUUGGCAAUUUGCCUAAACACAUAUAAUCUCAAGAAACUUGUUAGUCACAUAUUACAUGUAAACAUCAAGAAUCAAGGAUGAGCUCAUCAUAUAAUAACUUUCAUAUACAUAUGCUUUUCAUUUCAUAUUUCUAUAUAACAUGUGCAUUUCCAUGAAAAAUCAUCUUAAACUCAGUUUAAUCAUGUCAGACUUUACCCGUUGAAUUUAUUUAAAAUAUUGAUGGAUACACAUGUAGUACACUCGAAGUGUACAAAACUGUAAUCUGUCAACUCAUAUACAGGGGUACCCAUUAGGGCACAUAAUCAGGAAGCACUCUCUCGAGCCAUAUAACAGAAAGCUCAUGUGAGCCAUGUAAUAGGAAGCUUAUCCAAGCUAUAACAAGAAACUCAUAAGAGUUUAAAACAGGAAGUUUAUUGAGCUUAAUAGGUAACUCCAAAGAGUUAUUAUCAGGGAGCUCCAGAUAGCGAUAUAAUAGGAAGUUCAAGCGAGUCAUAUCAAGAAACUCACAAAGAGCCUAUAUCGGGAUGCUCAUAAAGAGCUGUGGUAUGUUCGCAUUAUAUGUAGGAUCCAUACCGAUCAUAUAACAGGACGCUCACAAAGAGCUGUGGUAUACCCGCAACACAUGUAGGAUUAAUACCGAUCGGAAUGCUCGCAAGAACCAUGUAACAGGAAGCUCGAGAGGUCUUAUAAUAGGAUGCUCAUAAGAGCUAUGGUGUAUCCGCAACAUAUGCAGGACCACAAUCAAUACGGGAAACUUAUAUCUAUCGAUUAUCAUUUGUUCAAACAGGACUUAACAUUUAUCAUGCAUUUUCGAAUAUUUAAUCACUUUCACAUUCAUGGUAAUUAUACUAUUCACACAUAUAAUACUUAAUUUAAACAUAUAAAUGUACACAACUUAGUUACACGAACUUACCUCGAUAGUUGUUCGUGUUCGUAGGCUACUAAUCCUAUACUUUUUAUUUUCUUCGAUCCAAUUCCGAACUAGGUCUAUCCAAAUCUAUACGAAUGAAUUUAACUUCAUUUAAUACAAUUCACAUUCAAUUCCAUCCAAUUCACAUCCUAGGAAAAGUUAUCAUUUUACCCCUAUACUUUUGAUUAAUUCCAAUUUCAUCCCUAGGCUCAAAAAAUGAAAUUCAUGCAAUUUAAUCCUUAUUCCAAGCCUAGUCGAAUUUUUCAUAUAACAAUAACAGUCCAUGUAUUUCACAAAAAUAAAAAAUUUUCUAUAAAUCUUACAUCUUUUCAAUUUAGUCUCUAAAUCACAAUUUCAUGAAAAGUUCCUUUACAAAAGUUGAUUAUCUAUCAACAACCUUUCUUUUUCUACCAUAAAUUUCAAAUUUUCAGCAUACUCAUCCAUGGAAAAAUUUUAAUGCUUUGCUAACUUUGCAAAUUGAUCCCCAAAAUAGAUAGAUUAGGUUAUUACGAUCUCAGAAAUAUAAAAAUUACUAAAAACGGGACAAGAAUGCUUACCCAAUUAAGCUUGCUUGAUGUCUUUUCUCUUAGCUAGGGUUUCCAUAGAAUAAUUUUGGGGAUGAAGAUGAAAUAGAUGAUAUUUUCCUUAUUUAAUUAAUUAUCAUAUUUUAUUAUUUUUACUUUCCAAUUUAGUCAUUUUUUUAAUUAAAUUUUCAUGGAUGAAUCAUCAUAAAUAUCUACUAACUUCUCUUAAUGGUUUAUUUGCCUUAUAAGGACCUUAAAUUUUGAAUUCCAUAACUAUUUGAUCCUUCUAGCUACUAGAAUUCAACUUUUGUACUUUAUGCAAUUUGGUCUUUUCUAUAAUUAAACAUGAAGUCAGUAAAAUUUUCUUAUCGAAAUUUUCAUACAUUAUUUCUAUCAUAAUGCAGACCAUGCAAUAAUAUUAAAAUAAAAUUUCUUUCCAACUCGGAUUUGUGGUCCUGAAACCAUUAUUCUGAUUUCACUGAAAACGGGCUGUUACAACAAAUCUUAAGGUAGCAUUAGUAAUUCUUUUAUGAAAAAGCGAGAUUCCUAAAUAAGAGCCUAGCUCGUGAACCUUUUGGAACCCCAAAAGCCUAUUCAAUCUGUUACUUAAGUUAUCAUCCACCCUUCAGGAAAAGAACAUAUUAGUUUUUCGUGUAUUAACCUAGUACCUUGAGAAGCUACAAAAUUUAUCCAUGAUGCUUUUGAGUAGUAAACCAUGUUUUAUGUCAGCUAUUGAGAAAAUCACCAAGUCAUUUACAAAUAAAAGGUGUGAUAGGGGAGGUCCUGUCUUUGUUAGCUUAAUAGGAGUCUAUUUGUUGGAGGCCUGAGCUGCUUUGAUGUUAUGCCCUAACCACUCCAUACAUAAAAUAAAUAAGGUGACAGAGGGCAUCCUUAAUGUACUAUUCUUUUUGGUUUGAAUUUCGUUGUGGGUACUCCAUUCCACAAGACUUGCAUUAUGGAUGUUGUAAAUGUAGACAUAAUCACUUUGCGUAAAAAUUCUGAUAUAGUUGUUGCCUGAAUAGAUUUAUCAUUGAAGUCUUAUGAACCUUAUUAUAAGCUUUUCUAAGUUAAUUUUGAUGGUCAAAUACUUUCUACUCUUUCCUAUAAACCCCACCUAUUCUGGUGUAAUAAGCUUAGGAAUCACUACUUUGAUUCUAUUACCUAUAACUUUUAUAACCAGUUUGUAAAGAACAGAACAGAGACUGAUAGGUCGGAAUUGCGAGAUCUCUUCAUGCUGAGAAGUCUUUGAGAUAAGAACAAUGAGUGUAUUGUUUAAUUCUGGAUCAAUAGGCUUGCCUUUGAAAACUUCCUUAACCCAGCCAUAGAUUGUGCUCCCAAUGCUAUCCCAUUGGUUCUGAAAGAAUAUAGCAUGGUAGCCAUCACUACCAAGAGCUUUUAAUAGGGCUAUGUCAAAAGUGCUAUUUUAAUUUCAUCGUUUGAGACUGCUUUCUUUAGAAAGUCGAUGUCACUCUGCUCCAGUUGAAGAAAACGACUGACGGGCAAGUCCCCUAUCCCACUUGGUUUCUCCCCAUACAGCUGUUGAAAGUAGUUUACUGCUUCAAGUUGGAUUUCCUCUGGGUCGUAAAACCAUUCCCCGUUUCUAUUACGUAAGGCAUUAAUGCAUUUUACUUUCCUUCUAUGCAAUGUAUGACUAUGAAAAAACUUCGUGUUUCUAUCUCCCAUUUUGAGCCAAUCGCACAUCGACUUUUGCUUCCAGAGCAAUUCUUCAUGGUUAAGUACCUCCUCAAGUUCCUCUCUUAUGUCCAUCUCCUUUUCAAUUACCGACUCUGAGUUUGACCUCUCUAUUUCCUUCUGAAUAUGACUUAAGAACUGUAGAAGUUUUCGUUUGUGCAUCCCAAUGUGUUCGUAUACAUUCUUAUUCCACUCUUUUAGCCCUGCCGUGAGGUUUCUUAAAGUUUUUGACAUAUCUCCACUAUAACGCCACAUAUCAUUAACAACACUUGAGAAAUUUUGAUGUUGUGUCCACCCAGCCGAAAACAAAAUGGGCGUCCUUUUGGUAGAUUAUUUUAUAUUUUAAAUUCAAUACAGCUACAAUUUUUUAAUGAAAAUAUUUUUUAUAAUUUCAAAAAUAAAUUUUCAAUUUUUUUAUAAAAUUUGUAUAUUAUUAGAAACUUUUUAAAUUUUUUUUUUGAAAUCAUCGUCAAAGAUUUUUAAAAUGAACGCCCAAAUUAGGUAUUAACAUUAUAUAAAACAAGCCAUAUGAUCGUUUUGUUAAGGACUAGAAUAUUUAACAAACAAGUGAUCAAAAUUUAGUCACGUUUUUUAAUUUUUUAUAGCUUAGUGGCCGAAACGAAAACAAAGUAAUAGUUGGGUGAUGCUGAUGUAAUUUACCCAUGUUUCUUUUUGGUACAUGAAUAAUUGCAUCAUAAUGAGAGGUGUUCACGUAGUGGAACGGAACCAUGUCAAGUCAAAGUGUCUUUUUCGUUGAAUUCAAAGCAUAAUUACUUAAUAAUCAUGUUAUUUCCGCAUGUGUUAGAAUUAAUUAACUAAUCAUACCAAGUGAUAUAAUCCUCUUAAGCUUGCUUGGAACAUGACAAACAGGGUAGUUAGUACAAGGUUGUUCCAAUCAGCACUUUCCCGUUUUGCCAUUUUCAGAAAAACACAAAAUGAAAAAUCAAAUUAAUGCAGGACAAAGAAAAAUCAAAUUUAUUUAUGUUUGAUGUUGGAUUGGGGUAUUUGUUUCUUGUUUGUCUUAUUAGAAAAUAUACUUUUUGUAUUUCUAAGGCAAAGUUAGAGAAUGAAGGUUUUUCAUUAAAAAAACAAUGUGGAUUUGCUCAUCAAAAUGAAACAAAAUUAAGGUUCUCCUUUUUUAGAGGUUGUUAGGAAUUUGAGAUUAUUUUAAUUAUACAAUAAUAUUUAAUACGCGUUUAACUAAAAAAUAUAAAUUAAUUAAUGCUUUGUUUGGACAACAUAUUGUUAAUUACAUUUUCUUAUAAUUUGAUGACGAGCUAAGUGUUAUUAUAUCGCAAUUUUCUAUUUUAUUUUUGAUAGUACAAUUUGUAAUUAUAUAAUUAUACAAUUUAUAUAUUUUUUUAAAAUUAAUUACUAUAAAAUAAACAAAAUCUGAUAAAAAAAAUUCUAAACAAGUAACAAAAAUUAAUAUCAAAUAACCAUAUAUAAUAUGCUAAUCCAAGAACAUAAUCAAUAACACGAUUACUAAAAAAAUUGAACAUUAUAUGCAAUUUCAUGUAAUUGCUCUAGCGUUUCAUAUUGUUGGUCUAUCCGCUCUUUAACAUUUAACAUAUAUUACAUUACUCAUUAUCAUCAUCUAUUAAUUGUCUCAUUGAGAUUGCAUAGACCUCUUUUUUUUUUCUUGUACUCUUCAAAGUAUGAAUAUCUCAAUUCUACCUAUGAAUGAGGUUACGAAGUAUGUAACAUGCUAGUACAAUCCAACUUUGUUUUUUUAUGCUCUACUAAGAUGAUUUUUUUUUUAGAAUUACUAAGGUGAUAUUGUUAAUAUGAGAAAUUUUUUUAGAACAACAAAUAUCCUCUAAACCACAUUUCGAAUGUUUAAAUGUCUCCAAUUAUCUCAACCACUUUUCAAAUGUUUAAAUGUCUCGAAUUAAAGAACUCGCAAGCCAUCUCUGGUGCUUGUGUUUGACUUCAUCCUUUUAAAAGAUAUUGUACCCCACAAUAUGGUACAAGAAAAUCUUACAUCUACUACAUAAUAUUUGUGUUCACGAUGCAAAUAAUAUAUAUAGCUUCCAUUAUAAAAACCUAAUUUAGAGAAAGACUUUUGCUAGUUAUAACCCUUUUUAUAUUAUGUAAAUUACUUUUUUUAUUUGAAAUUUAAUCUUACUUUUAUUUCUAGAAGUUUAGACUCUUUACUUUUUUAUUUUAAAAUUUAAACUCAAUUUUUAAUAUUGCUAAAUUUUUUAGUAAAAUAUUUUGAACUAAAAAAAUCCAUUUGAUAAUUAUCGAACAAAAAAUAAUAUUGUAAUGAACCUAAAUUUAAUAAAAGAAUUUUAACAGAAGUUCACUUUUAAAUUCAAAAAGUAGAAAAAUUAAAUUUUUUUUAAAAUAAAAGUACAAAGACUAAAUUCCAAGUGUAUAAAGAAUGUAGAAACUUAAAGCGCAUUUUAACAAUUAAGCUAUGCACUUAAAACUAAUUUAAUUUUACUUUUUUUUUUCUAUUAUUCUCAUAUAUUUAAUUUCACUGCUAUAUUUUAAAUUUUUAACGAAAAACAUUUAACUAUUGAUCUAAUAUAAAAAACUAUUAAAUAUUUGGUACACUAUUAAUGAAGUUUUUAGACUUCACAAGCAAUGUUAUGGGUUGAUAAGUGUCAUAUAGGAGUAUAAUAAAAUAUCAAAAAUAAGUAUUUUUAAAGAAAAGAGACGUGACAAAUUUUUAAGAAUACUUAUGGGAAAAAAAAUACGCUGCCAAUGCAUCAAAUACAAACCCUUAAAAUAUAUAUUAAAAAUAAGAAAAUUAAUCAAGAAGUGUCCUACAGGAAUAUAAAUAUUAAAAUGAAUAAAUAUUAAAAAAAAGACACAUAUCAAAUUUUUAAAACUAUUUGUAGAAUAAAAAAGAUACUACUAGUAUACCAAAUUAUCACCCUAAAAAUAAAUAUGGAUAUAACAAAAAUGAAUUUAUUUUUUACUUGUAUAAAAAUGCAAUAAUUAAUAGUAAACAAAAUUAUUAAACUAUUAGAUUACAACGAGGUAGAAAUAAAUAUAAUAUAUUUACAUUAUAUAUAUUGAUAAUGUAGAAUUGAAGUGUUAGUAUUGAUGCACUCAUUAGAAGGACGUGCCUGCAUUAUACACAUACAUAUUAUAUCUAAAGAGAGUUGUUUAAACUCAAGUAAAUUUAAUGGGUGGAUAACAAUCAAAUCAAUCAAAAGAGUUUCAAUAUAUAUAAUAUGAAAGAAAUUUUGUUGAAAUAGCAAAAUUGAGGAUUUGAAAAUUUUAAUAUUUUAAAUUAUUUUUAAAAUUUUUCUUUGAUGGAUUGAUUAAUUCACUAAUUAAUUAGCUCUUUGCAUAAACAAAUGAUUUUUAUUACCUUUAAAGCUUCUUCUAGACAUUGCACACACAAAAAGGAGCGCUUCUUCUAGACUAGAGGGCCCUACAAUUACUACCUUUUUCUAGAUUUGUAGGUCAAGUAGUUACUUUUCAGUUUUAUUGGCCAAGGAAGGCAUAGGGAUAACCUUAUCCUUAUUCUUUCCUCCCCCUUUGCUUUUGAGUUCAGUUACUUCUCUUUGUCUUCCUACACUUCCCUUUCCCUUUUAACGAACCUUCGCCCCAACUUUCCUUAUGCCCAAACGUCUACUCACUAUACCGAGUAGCGUCAUUAUUUUUAAAAUAAAAAAUAAAAUAAAUUGCACAUGGGAAAAAAAGGUAGAAAGUCAAAUCAGCGUCAAAGGCCACCGCGUUCACACAUGCCCUUCCCACGCGCUUCUCCUUUCUAGCUAACCGUGUGCGCUGAUACGUAUAUAAAGUAAACCCAAAGCCCUCCGUUCCCAUCUCCAAUUUCAGAUCAUCACACUUGCCUUUUUCCCAUUUCGUCAAUCGCGGCAUUCAAUCAAAAGAAACCUUUGUUUAGUUACAUGGAAAUCGGGUCUUUCACAUUUCUUUCUCCUGAAGAUUUUUCUUUUAACAACAACUACAACAGCGAUUUCUCUUGGUUUUUGGAUAUGGAAACUGGGUUCAACGGAAACACCAAGAAGAGGGGUAGAAAAGACUUUGAGGAAUCUCUUGUCAGCGAAAAGAGUGGGUUUGGUGAUAUACUUUCCUCGAUUUUGAUGUUGGAUGAGGAAGCAAAGCAAGAGCAGUAUCAAUGGGUGACUAACCCUGAUCAAGAUAGAGCUUUCUUCCAAGCCAAUUACAAGGGAAAUGUUCAGGAAAUGAAUGGGUAUUUUGAAAACCAGUUUUCUGAAAUGAACCAGUUGGAUAAUUCCAGUAACAAACGCGCCCGCAAAUCUGGUUCACCCGCUGCGGCUGCGACGGUUUCAGCCGGGUCCGAUAAUGUGGGUCCAUCGCAAUCGGGCAGCGGAUCCGGACAGCAAAGGCGGUUAUGGGUAAAAGACCGAUCCAAGGACUGGUGGACUAAGUGUAACCACCCAGAUUUCCCCGAUGAGGAGUUUAAACGCGCUUUCCGUAUGAGCAAAGCCACAUUCAAUAUGGUCUGCGAGGAGCUCGAACCUGCAGUUAUGAAAAAGAACACUAUGCUUCGAGAUGCGAUCCCAGUUCGUCAGCGCGUGGCGGUUUGUAUUUGGAGGUUGGCCACGGGUGAACCGCUUCGGAUGGUAUCGAAGCGCUUCGGGUUGGGGAUUUCAACUUGUCAUAAGCUGGUUCUAGAGGUUUGUGCCGCAAUUAAAACUGUUUUAAUGCCCAAAUUCGUUCAAUGGCCUGACGAAAGCAAAAUGAAGAGUAUCAAACAAGCAUUCGAGUCCGCUGCUGGGAUCCCCAACGUGGGCGGUUCAAUGUACACUACUCACGUUCCCAUCAUUGCACCAAAAGUCAGCGUCGCGGCGUAUUUCAACAAAAAACACACGGAGAGGAACCAGAAAAAUUCAUAUUCCAUUACCCUUCAAGGCGUUGUCGACCAAACCGGAGCUUUCACCGACAUAUGUAUUGGGUGGCCCGGUUCGAUGUCCGAUGAUCAAAUUUUAGAGAAAUCAGCGUUUCACCAAAGAGCCACAAGGGGACAUUUGAAGGACGUUUGCGUCGUAGGCAACAAAGGGUACCCAUUAAUGGACUGGGUUUUGGUUCCUUACAGCCACCAAAACCUCACUUGGGCUCAACAUGCUUUCAAUGAGAAAAUCGGGGAGAUUGAAAAGGUGGCCAAGGAGGCAUUCGCGAGGCUGAAAGGGCGGUGGUCGUGUUUACAAAAGAGAACCGAGGUUAAGCUUCAAGAGUUGCCGAUCGUGCUUGGAGCUUGCUGCGUUUUGCAUAAUAUCUGUGAGAUGAGAAACGAGGUGAUGGAUCCGGAGCUUAAAUUCGAGCUUUUCGACGAUGAGGUCAUCCCUGAUAAUAAUAUAAGGUCCAUGGCUUCCGCACAAGCUAGAGAUCACAUCGCUCACAAUUUGUUGCACCAUGGGCUUGGCGGCCGUGGUACAUCUUCCACUGCUUUUCUAUAGUGUUGAUUUAGGAAUCUUUUCUGUAGUUUGCUUGUUAUUCUUUUGGGGUAUGGCAAUAAAGAUUAUUCCUGAUUUAAUUU